UCUCGCUCAAGGGGCGGCCGAUGGCAGAUUAGCUAGUUGGUGGGGUAAAGGCCUACCAAGGCGACGAUCUGUAGCUGGUCUGAGAGGACGACCAGCCACACUGGGACUGAGACACGGCCCAGACUCCUACGGGAGGCAGCAGUGGGGAAUUUUGGACAAUGGGCGCAAGCCUGAUCCAGCAAUGCCGCGUGUGUGAAGAAGGCCUUCGGGUUGUAAAGCACUUUUGUCCGGAAAGAAAACCAUCUGGCUAAUAUCCGGGUGGGAUGACGGUACCGGAAGAAUAAGCACCGGCUAACUACGUGCCAGCAGCCGCGGUAAUACGUAGGGUGCAAGCGUUAAUCGGAAUUACUGGGCGUAAAGCGUGCGCAGGCGGUUCGCUAAGACAGAUGUGAAAUCCCCGGGCUUAACCUGGGAACUGCAUUUGUGACUGGCGGGCUAGAGUAUGGCAGAGGGGGGUAGAAUUCCACGUGUAGCAGUGAAAUGCGUAGAGAUGUGGAGGAAUACCGAUGGCGAAGGCAGCCCCCUGGGCCAAUACUGACGCUCA
RNAcentral lists this ribosomal RNA (544 nucleotides) under Paraburkholderia sp. RNAcentral's name for it is "bacterial SSU rRNA". It matches the Rfam family "Bacterial small subunit ribosomal RNA", at positions 213 to 749 of the family's 1533-position model. Lineage: Bacteria; Pseudomonadati; Pseudomonadota; Betaproteobacteria; Burkholderiales; Burkholderiaceae. The record is from RNAcentral.